GAAUGCUAGUCGAGCGCCUUCUAGCCAAAAGGAGGCGCGGCGCUCAGCUNAGUAGNACGUGGCUAACCUGCCCUUGGGAUAGGAACAACCCCGGGAAACUGGGGCUAAUUCCCAAUAGGUGAAGAACUCUGGAAUGAGUCUUCGCCAGAAAGGACUCCUACACUAUGCUUGUAGGUUUCGCCCAAGGAUGGGGCCGCGACCGAUCAGGUUGUUGGUGAGGUAAUGGCUCACCAAGCCUUUUACCGGUGCGGGCCGUGGGAGCGGAAGCCCGGAGAUGGGCACUGAGACAAGGGCCCAGGCCCUACGGGGCGCAGCAGUCGCGAAAACUUUGCAAUAAGCGCAAGCUUGACAGGGCUAUCCCGAGUGCCAUCCGCUGAGGAAGGCUUUUACCCAGUCUAGAACGCUGGGGGAAUAAGGAGAGGGCAAGUCUGGUGUCAGCCGCCGCGGUAAUACCAGCUCUCCGAGUGGUGUGGAUGUUUAUUGGGCCUAAAGCAUCCGUAGCUGGCUAGGUUAGUCCCCUGUUAAAUCCACCGAAUUAAUCGUUGGAUUGCGGGGGAUACUGCUUGGCUAGGGGACGAGAGAGGCAGACGGUAUUUUCGGGGUAGGGGUGAAAUCCUAUAAUCCCGGGAAGACCACCAGUGGCGAAGGCUGUCUGCUAGAACGCGCCCGACGGUGAGGGAUGAAAGCUGGGGGAGCGAACCGGAUUAGAUACCCGGGUAGUCCCAGCUGUAAACGAUGCA
Molecule: ribosomal RNA, 740 nt
Filed under: uncultured crenarchaeote
Lineage: Archaea; Thermoproteati; Thermoproteota
Description: bacterial SSU rRNA
Rfam family: Archaeal small subunit ribosomal RNA
Source: RNAcentral